UACAGAGGUCUCAAGCGUUGUUCGGAUUCAUUGGGCGUAAAGGGUGCGUAGGCGGCGCGGUAAGUCGGGUGUGAAAUCUCGGAGCUUAACUCCGAAACUGCAUUCGAUACUGCCGUGCUUGAGGACUGGAGAGGAGACUGGAAUUUACGGUGUAGCGGUGAAAUGCGUAGAUAUCGGGAGGAACACCAGUGGCGAAGGCGAUCAUCUGGGGUUGUUCUGACGCUGAGGAGCGAAAGCUAGGGGAGCAAACGGG
Molecule: ribosomal RNA, 253 nt
Filed under: uncultured bacterium
Lineage: Bacteria
Description: partial 16S ribosomal RNA
Rfam family: Bacterial small subunit ribosomal RNA
Source: RNAcentral